UACGAAGGGGGCUAGCGUUGCUCGGAAUCACUGGGCGUAAAGGGUGCGUAGGCGGGUCUUUAAGUCAGGGGUGAAAUCCUGGAGCUCAACUCCAGAACUGCCUUUGAUACUGAGGAUCUUGAGUUCGGGAGAGGUGAGUGGAACUGCGAGUGUAGAGGUGAAAUUCGUAGAUAUUCGCAAGAACACCAGUGGCGAAGGCGGCUCACUGGCCCGGUACUGACGCUGAGGCACGAAAGCGUGGGUAGCAAACAGG
This 253-nucleotide ribosomal RNA is filed under the name uncultured bacterium. RNAcentral describes it as "partial 16S ribosomal RNA". It matches the Rfam family "Bacterial small subunit ribosomal RNA", at positions 524 to 776 of the family's 1533-position model. The record is from RNAcentral.